GGUUGACCUCGGAUCAGGUAGGGAUACCCGCUGAACUUAAGCAUAUCAAUAAGCGGAGGAAAAGAAACCAACAGGGAUUGCCUCAGUAACGGCGAGUGAAGCGGCAAGAGCUCAAAUUUGAAAGCUGGCUCCUUCGGGGUCCGCAUUGUAAUUUGCAGAGGAUGCUUCGGGCAUGGCCCCCGUCUAAGUGCCCUGGAAGGGGCCGUCAUAGAGGGUGAGAAUCCCGUCUGGGACGGGGUGUCCGUGUCCGUGUGAAGCUCCUUCGACGAGUCGAGUUGUUUGGGAAUGCAGCUCUAAAUGGGUGGUAAAUUUCAUCUAAAGCUAAAUACUGGCCGGAGACCGAUAGCGCACAAGUAGAGUGAUCGAAAGAUGAAAAGCACUUUGAAAAGAGAGUUAAACAGCACGUGAAAUUGUUGAAAGGGAAGCGUUUGCGACCAGACUCGCCCGCGGGGUUCAACCGGCAUUCGUGCCGGUGUACUUCCCCGUGGGCGGGCCAGCGUCGGUUUGGGCGGCCGGUCAAAGGCCUCCGGAAUGUAUCGCCCUUCGGGGUUGUCUUAUAGCCGGGGGUGCAAUGCGGCCUGCCUGGACCGAGGAACGCGCUUCGGCUCGGACGCUGGCGUAAUGGUCGUAAAUGACC
Molecule: ribosomal RNA, 637 nt
Filed under: Aspergillus giganteus
Lineage: Eukaryota; Fungi; Ascomycota; Eurotiomycetes; Eurotiales; Aspergillaceae
Also listed under: 1 other name
Description: eukaryotic LSU rRNA
Rfam family: Eukaryotic large subunit ribosomal RNA
Source: RNAcentral